Molecule: ribosomal RNA, 120 nt
Filed under: uncultured bacterium
Lineage: Bacteria
Description: partial 16S ribosomal RNA
Rfam family: Bacterial small subunit ribosomal RNA
Source: RNAcentral
CCGCUCAAAGAUGGUCCUGCGUCCCAUUAGCUAGUUGGUGGGGUAACGGCCUACCAAGGCGACGAUGGGUAGCCGAUCUGAGAGGAUGACCGGCCACACUGGGACUGAGAUACGGCCCAG